UUUUCCUUUCAAAUGAGGCCAGCUCCUCAAGCCAUUAGGCUGAGUUGCAUCAGCUGUGGCUCUGGCUUGGGGAAAUUAAAGGUGAGCACCUGUGCCAGCUCAGCAACACCGCAGUGCAUGAGCACGUAGAAGAAGUUAAGCUGCUGGGGAGCGAACAAGGCUGGAGCCUCAGUGAUGCUGGUGGAUCAGUGGCCUGGAAACAUCACGCUGCUGUGACUCAGCAGAGGACCUUUUUCUGGAGAGGCACUCCACCUGAGGUGUCCCACAGGAGUGAAGCUUCCUUUGUGCUAACAGCUACAAUACAAACACGCGGUGACAGGCAGAUCCAGGCGCAAACCCAUCACAGUGUAUGUAUCACAGUAGUAAUUUAGCACCCAUUCUCUGAAGUCUUAAAAGCUCCUCAUUUUUUGCUCCUGUGGUCAGUUCAGGGAGGAUCCUUCCCCAGGUAAUUCUAGAAACAAAGUUCAUUGUAUGGCAUACUGAUGUUUUACUGGAUAAGUGGUUUGAAGUUGUGAGCUGGGGCACCCCAGUAGCAUUUCCGUCC
Long non-coding RNA from Gallus gallus (chicken), 544 nucleotides. The record is from Ensembl. Lineage: Eukaryota; Metazoa; Chordata; Aves; Galliformes; Phasianidae.